GUGAACAACGUGCCUUGAAGACUGGGAUAGUCACUGGAAACGGUGGGUAAUACCGGAUGUGGCGCUUUUUCUGCAUGGGAAGAGCGUUUAAUGGUUUUUCGCUUCAAGAGCGGUUCACGGCCUAUCAGGUAGUUGGUGGGGUAAUGGCCUACCAAGCCGACGACGGGUAGCGGGUCUGAGAGGAUGAUCCGCUCGAGUGGGACUGAGACACGGCC
Molecule: ribosomal RNA, 215 nt
Filed under: uncultured bacterium
Lineage: Bacteria
Description: partial 16S ribosomal RNA
Rfam family: Bacterial small subunit ribosomal RNA
Source: RNAcentral